CUGCGUUAUUCAGUGAAGCAGACAUGGCCUAUUCCCUACAUUUGCCCCUUGAAAAUGUUCAAUUUUAAUUUAAAAGAUUAAUACAGCCAGGAUAUUCUUUCAACAGGCAAAUAAAAACCGCAGUUUAAACUCUAAGUUUCAAUCAGAAACUAACAGCUCUUGGAUUUCCCAGGGCUCACACUCCUCUGAAACAACUCACGAAGAGCCUGAGGAAGCAGUUCUCACUGGAAAAUGCAAGAAAGUAUGUUCCGGUGAAGACCCUCAGCUCUGUUCAUUUUCAUGAUGCAAAUGCCCACAAAGGUGGUUUUGACCUGACUGACCCUGUGCAAGGAGGCACAGUCUCCUCACCAGCAUAAGCACGUGGCAUCAGAUGCGGAGACAGUUUUGGACGUGGAUGGAUGUUUACACACUGAGACUCCUUCAGUGUCCCUUCAAGAAAAUGUGGACACAAUGUCUCUGAAGCCUGUUAGUGACCAUAGAAUUAAUUUCACUAAUACCUUUCGGUCACCGACUCCUGAAAAGAGAACACGUGAAUAUCAUGAGUCCGUUGAAAAAAGACAGUAAGUGGGCUUGAAAAAACAGAAUAAAAGAAACACAAGUUUUCAUUUUGAUCAAGGUUAAAAGGAUGCAGUUAAGGAACAGCUGCCUUCCACCUGAAUGAGCCACUAGAUGCUAAAACACUUUUGCUUGUCUGUAAACAUGUGAAUACAAUUAGGUUUAUAUUACUUUGAAGAAACUAUUGUGUUAUCUAAAUUUGUAACGUCACAUUUGAGAGACUCAGUGAUUAAAAACAGCUAUUUUCACUGUAGUUAAA
This is a long non-coding RNA of Homo sapiens (human), 814 nucleotides long. Lineage: Eukaryota; Metazoa; Chordata; Mammalia; Primates; Hominidae. The record is from Ensembl.